This 200-nucleotide unclassified non-coding RNA is filed under the name Sclerotinia sp. RNAcentral describes it as "partial internal transcribed spacer 2". The record is from RNAcentral. Lineage: Eukaryota; Fungi; Ascomycota; Leotiomycetes; Helotiales; Sclerotiniaceae.
UUAAGUUCAGCGGGUAUCCCUACCUGAUCCGAGGUCAACCAUAGAAAAUUUGGGUUUUGGCAGAAGCUCACUGAGAACCUGUAACGAGAUAUAUUACUACGUUUAGGACCCAGCGGCACCGCCACUGAUUUUAGAGCCUGCCAUUACUGACAUGGACUCAAUACCAAGCUGAGCUUGAGGGUUGAAAUGACGCUCGAACA